UACAGAGGGUGCGAGCGUUUGUCCGGAAUCACUGGGCGUAAAGGGCGCGUAGGUGGCGACCCAAGUCGAUGGUGAAAGCUCGCCGCUCAACGGCGAGUCGGCUACCGAUACUGGGUUGCUGGAGCACUGUAGAGGCUCAUGGAAUUCCGGGUGUAGCGGUGGAAUGCGUAGAGAUCCGGAAGAACACCGGUGGCGAAGGCGGUUGAGCUGGGCAGUUGCUGACACUGAGGCGCGACAGCGUGGGGAGCAAACAGGGAU
Molecule: ribosomal RNA, 258 nt
Filed under: uncultured bacterium
Lineage: Bacteria
Description: partial 16S ribosomal RNA
Rfam family: Bacterial small subunit ribosomal RNA
Source: RNAcentral